UUAUCCAUAAUAACCAUGUAUCUGAGGGCUUCCUGUUAUUAUUUCAUUAAUACAUAACAGCAUACCAGCAAACUUAUGCCCCAAAAUACACUUUGACAUAACAAAAGCUUUUCUCAUUUUUCCAUUACAGUAUCAGAGUAUUGUUGGGUGGGAUGCUGUAUUUAUAUCAAUCCAGAGCCUCAAAACUGAACCAGAAAAAGGCAUACAGGAAAGUCUGUGAAUCUAGCCUCAUGGCCUGAGAUAUAUGCCCAAUCCCUAGAAAGGAUCUUCCUGGACUCCACUCAGAAUCCAUCUAAUGUGAGCUUGCAUUCUGACCACCAUUCCUUUCCAUAUACACUUUGAUUUCAACAGGACCUAUACACGACUCUGCAACCACAGCUGUUUAGCUGGCAAGGAAUGUUUUCCUUUGUGGGAAGGUAAAGUGAAAUUCUUUUCAGCCAACGGCACCAGGGAUAUUAUGUUAUUCCACACAUUCAACUGCAUGUUCCCUGGGGGAAGUAGGUUGGUUGUGCAAGACCUCAAAACCAACUAUAACUGUGCAACCUGAAUUUGCCGGUAUGUGACUCAAUCCCACCUGACAAUCAGACAGCGUGGAAGCACCCUGGGUCAAGGAAAGAAAACACAACGAUGCUUCCAGUGUAUCCUAGCCACUAGCUCAAGCUCAAACUCUUUGGAACAGAGGCUAUUCCAUGAGGAAUUCAUACUGCAGUGCUCUUAUACAACAUGAAGGUGGAGCCACCAUCCUGCACAUUGUAGAUGCCUCUAUGUGAGAGCCCCCUUUUCAGAUUUAAGAGGAAUAAUUUUGCUCCUGCAAUACAAAGUUUUCAUAGGAUUGGAUUGAGGGAAACAACUAACUGCAUGGGCAACAUAAUUCUGCGUUAUAACAUUCAACCAGACAACGGUGGAAAAAGAGAUUUUGAGCAUGGAUCUGUGGAAUUCCCUCACAGUCCUAAGAAACAAAUGCAUACAUUCUGCUAUAAACCAUGGAUUGCCAAUUGUAGGGCUGGAACUUCAAACUAUGGUAUGUGCUCUUAACUAUAGCAAGUAGAAACCAUGAUUUUGCAUUACAACUAUCCUGAACCCAACCAUUGGCCUAAUUUGGAUGGUUAUAUUUGGGCUUUAUAUGCAGCUGACUCCCCCCCCCCUUGUGACACGUAGCCAUCAAACACUGGUCUUCCAUUAAUCCAUCUGAACUGGAAAACUAUGGUUAUGUGGUUUGGAACAAUCCAGAAUCAAACAAGAAACUGUAGUUAACUGGAGACUUUCAGGUUAAAUAACUGAGGAGGGAUAAGGCUAUGUGUGCCUAUGAAAUGCUUGUGCAUAUCUUGGUUAAAUGAGCCAAUAUAUGAUCAUCCAGAUAGAGCCAUAGCAGUUCUGCAAACCCUAGAAGCUAAUAUUAUUUGAUAAAACAAUACAAGGUAUUUACCCACACCUUUGUAUUCAUGAUAGCACAUUAAUAUAUUGAGUACAUCUCAUUGACUACAACUGUGAACACUUAAAAGGGUUGUUCAACUUGAGAACAUUGGCGUGGACACAGUGUGGCAGGUGGCACAAGUCUGCAAGGGAAAGAGGCAAUUGGCAAAAAUCACCUUCCUUUCCUUCCUCCAGUGAGAGUCUCUGCUGGACCUCAGGUCCUUCCUGUGUUUGGACAUAGGCCUAUUAGGAACAUAAUGGAUACUCCAGAUACAACCCAGUGUAAGCAAAUGAAGGCAUACUGAGAAUCUGGUUG
Podarcis raffonei (Aeolian wall lizard) is the source of this 1729-nucleotide long non-coding RNA. RefSeq lists it as uncharacterized. The transcript is spliced from 6 exons. The record is from RefSeq and is a predicted model, not a curated record. Lineage: Eukaryota; Metazoa; Chordata; Lepidosauria; Squamata; Lacertidae.